UACGGAGGGUGCAAGCGUUAUCCGGAUUCACUGGGCUUAAAGGGAGCGUAGGCGGUGUGGUAAGUCAGUGGUGAAAUCUCCGGGCUUAACUCGGAAACUGCCGUUGAUACUAUCAUUCUUGAAUAUUGUGGAGGUAAGCGGAAUAUGUCAUGUAGCGGUGAAAUGCUUAGAUAUGACAUAGAACACCGAUGGCGAAGGCAGCUUGCUACACAAUUAUUGACACUGAGGCUCGAAAGCGUGGGGAGCAAACAGG
Molecule: ribosomal RNA, 253 nt
Filed under: uncultured bacterium
Lineage: Bacteria
Description: partial 16S ribosomal RNA
Rfam family: Bacterial small subunit ribosomal RNA
Source: RNAcentral